GACGAACGCUGGCGGCGUGCCUAAUACAUGCAAGUCGAGCGGACUUUAUCCUUCGGGGUAAGGUUAGCGGCGGACGGGUGAGUAACACGUAGGCAACCUGCCUGUAAGACCGGGAUGACAUUCGGAAACGGAUGCUAAUACCGGAUAUGCAACUUGGCUGCAUGGCUGAGUUGGGAAAGACGGCGCAAGCUGUCACUUACAGAUGGGCCUGCGGUGCAUUAACUAGUUGGUGGGGUAACGGCCCACCAAGGCGACGAUGCAUAGCCGACCUGGGAGGGUGAUCCGCCACACGGGGACUGGGACACGGCCCAGACUCCACUGGGAGGCCGCAGUAGGGUAUCUUCCGCAAUGGACGAAAGUCUGGCGGAGCAACGCCGCGUGAGUGAUGAAGGUUUUCGGAUCGUAAAGCUCUGUUGCCAGGGAAGAACAGCCAGGAGAGUAACUGCUCUUGGAAUGACGGUAACUGAGAAGAAAGCCCCGGCUAACUACGUGCCAGCAGCCGCCGUAA
Molecule: ribosomal RNA, 508 nt
Filed under: uncultured bacterium
Lineage: Bacteria
Description: partial 16S ribosomal RNA
Rfam family: Bacterial small subunit ribosomal RNA
Source: RNAcentral